GACAGAGGCCCCGAGCGUUAGUCGGAAUCACUGGGCUUAAAGGGUGCGUAGGCGGGCGUGUAAGUGCUUUGUGAAAGCCCUGGGCUCAACCCAGGAACCGCAGGGCAUACUGCACGUCUUGAAGUAGCUAGAGGCCGGUGGAACGAUCGGUGGAGCGGUGGAAUGCGUAGAGAUCGAUCGGAACGCCAAGGGUGAAGACAACCGGCUGGGGCUCACUUGACGCUGAGGCACGAAAGCGUGGGGAUCAAACAGG
RNAcentral lists this ribosomal RNA (253 nucleotides) under uncultured prokaryote. RNAcentral describes it as "partial 16S ribosomal RNA". It matches the Rfam family "Bacterial small subunit ribosomal RNA", at positions 524 to 776 of the family's 1533-position model. The record is from RNAcentral.